RNAcentral lists this ribosomal RNA (489 nucleotides) under uncultured bacterium. RNAcentral describes it as "partial 16S ribosomal RNA". It matches the Rfam family "Bacterial small subunit ribosomal RNA", at positions 30 to 506 of the family's 1533-position model. The record is from RNAcentral.
AUUGAACGCUGGCGGCAGGCCUAACACAUGCAAGUCGAACGGUAACAGGAAGAAGCUUGCUUCUUUGCUGACGAGUGGCGGACGGGUGAGUAAUGUCUGGGAAACUGCCUGAUGGAGGGGGAUAACUACUGGAAACGGUAGCUAAUACCGCAUAACGUCGCAAGACCAAAGAGGGGGACCUUCGGGCCUCUUGCCAUCGGAUGUGCCCAGAUGGGAUUAGCUAGUAGGUGGGGUAACGGCUCACCUAGUCGACGAUCCCUAGCUGGUCUGAGAGGAUGACCAGCCACACUGGAACUGAGACACGGUCCAGACUCCUACGGGAGGCAGCAGUGGGGAAUAUUGCACAAUGGGCGCAAGCCUGAUGCAGCCAUGCCGCGUGUAUGAAGAAGGCCUUCGGGUUGUAAAGUACUUUCAGCGGGGAGGAAGGGAGUAAAGUUAAGACCUUUGCUCAUUGACGUUACCCGCAGAAGAAGCACCGGCUAACUCCGU